This 534-nucleotide ribosomal RNA is filed under the name uncultured bacterium. RNAcentral describes it as "partial 16S ribosomal RNA". It matches the Rfam family "Bacterial small subunit ribosomal RNA", at positions 355 to 893 of the family's 1533-position model. The record is from RNAcentral.
UGGGGAAUAUUGCACAAUGGGCGCAAGCCUGAUGCAGCAACGCCGCGUGAGGGAUGACGGCCUUCGGGUUGUAAAAUCCUCUUUUAGCAGGGAAUGAAGCGAAAGUGACGGUACCUGCAGAAAAAGCGCCGGCUAACUACGUGCCAGCAGCCGCGGUAAUACGUAGGGCGCAAGCGUUAUCCGGAAUUAUUGGGGCGUAAAGAGCUCGUAGGCGGUUUGUCGCGUCUGCUGUGAAAUCCCGAGGCUCAACCUCGGGUCUGCAGUGGGUACGGGCAGACUAGAGUGCGGUAGGGGAGAUUGGAAUUCCUGGUGUAGCGGUGGAAUGCGCAGAUAUCAGGAGGAACACCGAUGGCGAAGGCAGAUCUCUGGGCCGUAACUGACGCUGAGGAGCGAAAAGGGUGGGGAGCAAAGCAGGCUUAGAUACCCUGGUAGUCCACCCCGUAAACGUUGGGAACUAGUUGUGGGGUCCAUUCCACGGAUUCCGUGACGCAGCUAACGCAUUAAGUUCCCCGCCUGGGGAGUACGGCCGCAAGG